CCAAAGAAUUCGAAUUUCAUGGAAAAUAUGGGUUUUGAUGGAGCUUGAAGCCAUGGGAGCUUGAAGCAAGCUUCUCCCUUCAUUCUAGGUGUACCUAGGGACUGUGAACGUUUGGAUUCUCGUGGAGUAUGAUAAGUAGCUUGUUCUUCAAGUAAGCAGAUUGUAAAGCUCAAAGAGGAACACAGUUAAUUGAAGAGCCUCAUGGGACAAGGACACUAACCGUGGCUAGAGGUACUAGUAUGA
Molecule: long non-coding RNA, 243 nt
Organism: Gastrolobium bilobum
Lineage: Eukaryota; Viridiplantae; Streptophyta; Magnoliopsida; Fabales; Fabaceae
Exons: 3
Source: RefSeq, a predicted model, not a curated record